GCGUCGGUGGUGUAGUGGUUAACAUAGUUGCCUUCCAAGCAAUUCUCCCGGGUUCGAUUCCCGGCCGACGCA
RNAcentral lists this transfer RNA (72 nucleotides) under Anneissia japonica. RNAcentral's name for it is "tRNA-Gly". It matches the Rfam family "tRNA". From Rfam's summary of the family: Transfer RNA (tRNA) molecules are approximately 80 nucleotides in length. Their secondary structure includes four short double-helical elements and three loops (D, anti-codon, and T loops). The record is from RNAcentral. Lineage: Eukaryota; Metazoa; Echinodermata; Crinoidea; Comatulida; Comatulidae.